This 372-nucleotide ribosomal RNA is filed under the name Rhipicephalus sanguineus (brown dog tick). Its description in RNAcentral is "partial 16S ribosomal RNA". The stretch from base 223 to 372 matches the Rfam family "Bacterial large subunit ribosomal RNA", at positions 2473 to 2623 of the family's 2925-position model. Lineage: Eukaryota; Metazoa; Arthropoda; Arachnida; Ixodida; Ixodidae. The record is from RNAcentral.
UACAGGAAAAAACUUUUUUUUUAAAUUAAAAAUUGAAAUUUUUUUAAUUUGUGCAGAAACAAUUAUUAAUAUUAAGGACAAGAAGACCCUAUGAAUUUAUUAAAUUUUAUUUAAUAUGUAAUUACUAUUAGAAAAAUUUUGGCUGGGGCGGCUAAAAAAUAUUUUAAACUUUUUAAAAAUAAAAUGAUCCAUUAUUAAUGAUUAUAUGUUAAAUACUCUAGGGAUAACAGCGUUAUAUUUUUUGAUAGAUCAUAUUGACAAAAAAGUUUGCGACCUCGAUGUUGGAUUAGGAUACUUUUUUAAUGCAGAUAUUAAAAAAAGAAGUUUGUUCAACUUUUAAUUUCCUACUUGAUCUGAGUUCAGACCGGAGCC